ACGGAAGGCAGCAGUGGGGAAUAUUGCACAAUGGGCGAAAGCCUGAUGUAGCGACGCCGCGUGAGCGAAGAAGUAUUUCGGUAUGUAAAGCUCUAUCAGCAGGGAAGAAAAAUGACGGUACCUGACUAAGAAGCCCCGGCUAACUACGUGCCAGCAGCCGCGGUAAUACGUAGGGGGCAAGCGUUAUCCGGAUUUACUGGGUGUAAAGGGAGCGUAGACGGCAUUGCAAGUCUGAAGUGAAACUCCGGGGCUCAACCCCGGAACUGCUUUGGAAACUGCAGAGCUUGAGUACCGGAGGGGUAAGCGGAAUUCCUAGUGUAGCGGUGAAAUGCGUAGAUAUUAGGAGGAACACCAGUGGCGAAGGCGGCUUACUGGACGGUAACUGACGUUGAGGCUCGAAAGCGUGGGGAGCAAACAGGAUUAGAUACCCUGGUA
This 435-nucleotide ribosomal RNA is filed under the name uncultured Lachnospiraceae bacterium. RNAcentral describes it as "partial 16S ribosomal RNA". It matches the Rfam family "Bacterial small subunit ribosomal RNA", at positions 341 to 792 of the family's 1533-position model. Lineage: Bacteria; Bacillati; Bacillota; Clostridia; Lachnospirales; Lachnospiraceae. The record is from RNAcentral.